UACAGAGGGUGCAAGCGUUGCUCGGAUUUACUGGGCGUAAAGCGUACGCAGACGGUGAGGCAAGUCGGGUGUGAAAGCCCCGGGCUCAACCCGGGAACUGCAUUCGAUACUACUUCGCUCGAGUAUGAGAGAGGAAAGCGGAAUUCCUGGUGUAGAGGUGAAAUUCGUAGAUAUCAGGAGGAACACCGGCGGCGAAGGCGGCUUUCUGGCUCAUUACUGACGUUCAGGUACGAAAGCGUGGGUAGCAAACAGG
RNAcentral lists this ribosomal RNA (253 nucleotides) under uncultured bacterium. RNAcentral describes it as "partial 16S ribosomal RNA". It matches the Rfam family "Bacterial small subunit ribosomal RNA", at positions 524 to 776 of the family's 1533-position model. The record is from RNAcentral.